UUUUUUUUUUUUUUUAAAUGGGAAAGUUACAUUUUGUUUUGUUUUCCUAGGAGGUGCAGAUUUAAAUUAACUCUUCACCUGGAGAAGGGGCACAGCCUCAUUUAUCCUAAGUUGGAUUUCACUCAUUGCUUAGUAGAAAAUGAUCUUGAACAACUACUACUAUUACCACCAUCACCACCACUACUACUGAUACUACUACUUCCUCUCCUCUUCUUUCCCCUCUUCCUCCCUCUUCUUCAUCCUUCUUCCUCCUUUCCUCUCUGUCUUCCUUGCUUUCUGUUUACAGUUCUGUUCAUUGAAAUAAUAACUAAGGUGUUAGAUAUAGUUAUAGGAAUGUUAUAAAAAUGUAUGCUUUAGCAUGAUACUUGAUUAUAAUCACCAGCUUUUAUACUUUUCAUGAGAAAGCUGAGAUUCAGAGAAGGUACAUAAUUUACCCCAUAUCAUACCAGUGAGAGAAAAACGUAAGAUUCAAAUCAGAUUUUCUCAAUGUCUAUUCUUAGAGAUGCCAUGUGAUUUACUGUUGACUCAAGGCCUGGAGGUAUUAGAUAGACUUUUAGAUCAAGGUCCUAGCAUGCCUAAAGCCCUUGGUUCAAUUUUCUGCACUGAAUAAACUAGAAAUUCAAGGUCAUCCUCAAAUACACUGUGCAUUUGAGACCAGCAAAAGCUAUAUGGGACUCAUCCUCCAAAAAAAAAAAGAGGAUGUCCCUGGGAGAAAUAGAGGAGGAGUACAUCUUGGGGAGAGGGGAGAGUGAGGGGCGGAGCUUCGAGGAGAGGGAGGGAACGAUGUAGUCAGGAUGUAUUCUAAGAAGAAGAAUUUUAAAAAAAGAUGAAAAAAUGAUGAGCUGUAGUGCACUGGAUAAACACUUGCUCAGCUUGUGUACCACCCAGAGUUCAUCCUCAGGACUGAGCAGGUAAAUACGCACAGGCCAGGGCCUGCAUUCCUCUCUGAGGGACCUUGGAGCUGUUUUCAUAGGCUUCUUUAUCUAGGUUAAACUUGAGGGUAACUGCUGUGAAGUGUGCUCAGCAAAUCAGACAUGUUAGACUAGAAUAUUUUGUGUCCAUAUUCUUAGGAGCCAAUGAUGUGAUCCAGCUCAUUAUUUUGUUCCCAUACUUUGUAAGUUUGAAUUGAACCAAAACAGUCUCUGCAUACUCUUGUGGAUCCUACACAUAUACUUGAGUCAUAUUUUCAAGACAAUCUCAGCAUCACCUGGCAGCACCUUUAAUGGGCACCAGGGACCUGAGUGCAGACAUCAAAGCUUUCCCAGUGGUCACUGUCAGAGGGACCUUGGACUUCUUCUCCUUCUUCUAUCUUCCAUGUGGUGGAAGUAAAGAUCUGCCAUACCAUACUCACUUUUAUUCUGUGCUGUGAAAGCAAACCUAGGGCUCCCUGAAUGUGUUUAUUUCUCCCCUUCCUUUCUCUUCUCCUUCUUCAUUUUAUUUAUUAUUUAUUAAAAAUAAUUGUGUGCAAUAUGUUCUGAUCAUUAAGUUAAGGGUUUUAAUCCAUCCUUCAUCUCCCAAACCCUCUGCACCUCUCCACUGUUCAAAUUCCAUGCCUUUUCUCACUCUCUCUCAAACAGGU
This 1579-nucleotide long non-coding RNA is filed under the name Mus musculus (house mouse). RNAcentral's name for it is "long non-coding RNA chr3:67092486-67094065". The record is from RNAcentral. Lineage: Eukaryota; Metazoa; Chordata; Mammalia; Rodentia; Muridae.